This 83-nucleotide transfer RNA is filed under the name Pterulicium gracile. RNAcentral describes it as "Pterula gracilis tRNA". It matches the Rfam family "tRNA". From Rfam's summary of the family: Transfer RNA (tRNA) molecules are approximately 80 nucleotides in length. Their secondary structure includes four short double-helical elements and three loops (D, anti-codon, and T loops). Further hydrogen bonds mediate the characteristic L-shaped molecular structure. tRNAs have two regions of fundamental functional importance: the anti-codon, which is responsible for specific mRNA codon recognition, and the 3' end, to which the tRNAs corresponding amino acid is attached (by aminoacyl-tRNA synthetases). tRNAs cope with the degeneracy of the genetic code in two manners: having more than one tRNA (with a specific anti-codon) for a particular amino acid; and 'wobble' base-pairing, i.e. permitting non-standard base-pairing at the 3rd anti-codon position. The record is from Rfam by way of RNAcentral. Lineage: Eukaryota; Fungi; Basidiomycota; Agaricomycetes; Agaricales; Pterulaceae.
GUCUCUAUAGAUUAGUGGUUAGAUCAGCACGUUGUGGAAUACGCAAAUCCGUGCAGACGCCGGCUCGAAUCCGGCUAGGGACA